Suncus etruscus (white-toothed pygmy shrew) is the source of this 104-nucleotide small nuclear RNA. The record is from RefSeq and is a predicted model, not a curated record. Lineage: Eukaryota; Metazoa; Chordata; Mammalia; Eulipotyphla; Soricidae.
GUAUUCGCUUCAACAGCACAUAUACUAAAAUUGAAACAAUACAGAGAUUAGCAUGGCUCCUGCGCAAGGAUGACACACAAAUUCAUGAAGCGUUCUAUAUUAUU